Molecule: ribosomal RNA, 729 nt
Filed under: uncultured beta proteobacterium
Lineage: Bacteria; Pseudomonadati; Pseudomonadota; Betaproteobacteria
Description: bacterial SSU rRNA
Rfam family: Bacterial small subunit ribosomal RNA
Source: RNAcentral
UCGAACGGCAGCACGGGAGCAAUCCUGGUGGCGAGUGGCGAACGGGUGAGUAAUACAUCGGAACGUGUCCUGUAGUGGGGGAUAGCCCGGCGAAAGCCGGAUUAAUACCGCAUACGCUCUACGGAGGAAAGGGGGGGAUCUUAGGACCUCCCGCUACAGGGGCGGCCGAUGGCAGAUUAGCUAGUUGGUGGGGUAAAGGCCUACCAAGGCGACGAUCUGUAGCUGGUCUGAGAGGACGACCAGCCACACUGGGACUGAGACACGGCCCAGACUCCUACGGGAGGCAGCAGUGGGGAAUUUUGGACAAUGGGCGAAAGCCUGAUCCAGCAAUGCCGCGUGUGUGAAGAAGGCCUUCGGGUUGUAAAGCACUUUUGUCCGGAAAGAAAACUUCUGCCCUAAUACGGCGGGAGGAUGACGGUACCGGAAGAAUAAGCACCGGCUAACUACGUGCCAGCAGCCGCGGUAAUACGUAGGGUGCAAGCGUUAAUCGGAAUUACUGGGCGUAAAGCGUGCGCAGGCGGUCCGCUAAGACAGAUGUGAAAUCCCCGGGCUUAACCUGGGAACUGCAUUUGUGACUGGCGGGCUAGAGUAUGGCAGAGGGGGGUAGAAUUCCACGUGUAGCAGUGAAAUGCGUAGAGAUGUGGAGGAAUACCGAUGGCGAAGGCAGCCCCCUGGGCCAAUACUGACGCUCAUGCACGAAAGCGUGGGGAGCAAACAGGAUUAGAUACC